AUGGUAAAAUGGGCUGACAUCUGCUUGCCGAAGGACCGAGGGGGGUUGGGCAUCCCUGCAUUUCACCGUAUGAACAUUGCGCUCAUGCUUCGUUGAGUUUGGCGGAUCUUGCUGGGUGAUGGUGGUUUGUGGCUGCAGCUGAUUGAGUCCAAGUACUUGCAGGGCCAGCCCCUCUUGGCUUGCUCGCACUCGGCUGGUCCCAGUUUUGGAAAUCUAUCCAUGCCAUCAAGGAUGAGAUUAGGAUGGGUUUGCGGUUCUUGGUUGGCAAUGGGUCUGGGACCCAGUUUUGGUUGGACCCCUGGCUUGAUGGAGAGCCUCUCCGCAUGUGGUUUCCGAGGCUCUUUGUGA
Molecule: ribosomal RNA, 348 nt
Filed under: Triticum aestivum (bread wheat)
Lineage: Eukaryota; Viridiplantae; Streptophyta; Magnoliopsida; Poales; Poaceae
Description: partial small subunit ribosomal RNA
Source: RNAcentral